GACGAACGCUGGCGGCGUGCCUAAUACAUGCAAGUUGAGCGAUGAAGAUUGGUGCUCGCGCCAAUUUGAAGAGCAGCGAACGGGUGAGUAACGCGUGGGGAAUCUGCCUUUGAGCGGGGGACAACAUUUGGAAACGAAUGCUAAUACCGCAUAACAACUUUAAACAUAAGUUUUAAGUUUGAAAGAUGCAAUUGCAUCACUCAAAGAUGAUCCCGCGUUGUAUUAGCUAGUUGGUGAGGUAAAGGCUCACCAAGGCGAUGAUACAUAGCCGACCUGAGAGGGUGAUCGGCCACAUUGGGACUGAGACACGGCCCAAACUCCUACGGGAGGCAGCAGUAGGGAAUCUUCGGCAAUGGACGAAAGUCUGACCGAGCAACGCCGCGUGAGUGAAGAAGGUUUUCGGAUCGUAAAACUCUGUUGGUAGAGAAGAACGUUGGUGAGAGUGGAAAGCUCAUCAAGUGACGGUAACUACCCAGAAAGGGACGGCUAACUACGUG
This 497-nucleotide ribosomal RNA is filed under the name uncultured bacterium. Its description in RNAcentral is "partial 16S ribosomal RNA". It matches the Rfam family "Bacterial small subunit ribosomal RNA", at positions 28 to 507 of the family's 1533-position model. The record is from RNAcentral.